This is a non-coding RNA of Myotis brandtii (Brandt's bat), 74 nucleotides long. The record is from Rfam. NCBI's taxonomy places the organism in Eukaryota, Metazoa, Chordata, Mammalia, Chiroptera, Vespertilionidae.
CUUGGGUGGGGGGGGUCCCUCAGCCCAGAUUACGAGAGGGUGCAGGCCAGGUCGAGGGACCCUACUGGUGCACG